This 235-nucleotide ribosomal RNA is filed under the name Trypanosoma congolense type Savannah. Its description in RNAcentral is "partial 18S ribosomal RNA". The record is from RNAcentral. Lineage: Eukaryota; Euglenozoa; Kinetoplastea; Trypanosomatida; Trypanosomatidae.
GGGGGGGGAGGCCACGUGGUUUUUUUGCCCCCCACGCCUUUUGGGGGGGGACAGGCUAGCUUUUCUCCCCCUUCUUCUUCUUCUCAUCCUCAUCUUUUUCCUGCUAUCCCACGUGUGUUGGGAGAGUGGAGGAGGAAGUGUGUGUGUUUGGAGGAAGAAGGGCAGUGGGGGAAAUAUCGGGAGGCUAGUGUGCGGGCGCAGGUGUGUGGUCACGGCUCUCACAACGUGCGCGAUC